This is a long non-coding RNA of Trichoplusia ni (cabbage looper), 1062 nucleotides long. RefSeq lists it as uncharacterized. The record is from RefSeq and is a predicted model, not a curated record. Lineage: Eukaryota; Metazoa; Arthropoda; Insecta; Lepidoptera; Noctuidae. The transcript is spliced from 5 exons.
UGAACUUGUAACCCACAUUCGAACCCGCCUUUAUCCAUUUCAACUGUUCAACAAAGAGGACAGGUUGUGGCUGAGUCCGUGGCACCCGGCCAGGGUUUCUGCAGAAUGGCGGAGGCUGAUGCUGAAUUGUCGGCCACACGGCUCGCCUCCGCCGCUGCUGAGGUGCCACGUGGACCUCGCCCUCCUGUCCUAUCAAAUGAGCUGUGUGGCCACUAUCGAAGCCGAGUCUACAGGACGCAGUUCACGCAGUGAUGCAUCCCAGUCGGACCCAAUUUGAUCAAAGAAUGCAUGGUGUCUUCUCGGCAUGCAUGAUGUCGAACUUCAACACCAUUCAAAAUCAUUUUCAUCAGACAUCAAAGAUGGAUUUACUUGAAAAAAAAAUAGACUUUUAUUUGCACUAUUUGUUUAUAUGCAUGCAGAUACUUCGUUUAUUAAUUGUGACAGUCUUAUCCGCGUAAUUAUAGGCAGAGGAAACUUAUCGAAACAUUUCAAACUUAAUUCUUAUUGCUUAGUCGUUUAAUACUUUAAGAUGUGAUCGAACUUAGGUUAGGUUUAUUUUAAAACCAAUUAAUUAGGAGUGGCGCAAUUCGCACUGCAUUAACAGGUGUUCUUUUUAUAUUGGUUUAUGUUUUUAGCUAUAAGGUCGUAUUAAAUCUUAUGAUUUUUAUUCCACUCUAUCAAUAAUUUAGUAGGUAUAGGUCAUCACAGUGGGUGGUACAAUUUUAGCCGGUUCGUCUUGUAAGCAGAUUACACAGUUUAUUCGUCCUGUCAGAUUAGCAGUUUAUUUUGUUUUAGCUUUUAAGUUACAGAUUUCAAACACGCACGUAAAUGUUUAAUUAUAAUUUGAGGUUAUGUUUAGUAGUCUCAUAUUGUUUACUUUUAAGUGGAGCAUGUUUUAUAUAUUUCGUUGAGUCUUGUAUUCUUUCAGACGACCUGCAAGUUAUGAACGGCUAUUUCGGCGAUGGCUGAAGUAGACUUGCCGUUUAUAGCUCGCUGUUAUCUGUCAGAACCCUUACUAGUAGUAGGUAUAAGUUUUUUUUCUAUUAAAUGUUUGGUUUUCAA